GACGAACGCUGGCGGCGUGCCUAAUACAUGCAAGUAGAACGCUGAAGGAGGAGCUUGCUUCUCUGGAUGAGUUGCGAACGGGUGAGUAACGCGUAGGUAACCUGCCUGGUAGCGGGGGAUAACUAUUGGAAACGAUAGCUAAUACCGCAUAAGAGUAGAUGUUGCAUGACAUUUGCUUAAAAGGUGCAAUUGCAUCACUACCAGAUGGACCUGCGUUGUAUUAGCUAGUUGGUGAGGUAACGGCUCACCAAGGCAACGAUACAUAGCCGACCUGAGAGGGUGAUCGGCCACACUGGGACUGAGACACGGCCCAGACUCCUACGGGAGGCAGCAGUAGGGAAUCUUCGGCAAUGGACGGAAGUCUGACCGAGCAACGCCGCGGGAGUGAAGAAGGGUUUCGGAUCGUAAAGCUCUGUUGUAAGAGAAGAACGAGUGUGAGAGUGGAAAGUUCACACUGUGACGGUAUCUUACCAGAAAGGGACGGCUAACUACGUG
RNAcentral lists this ribosomal RNA (495 nucleotides) under uncultured bacterium. RNAcentral's name for it is "partial 16S ribosomal RNA". It matches the Rfam family "Bacterial small subunit ribosomal RNA", at positions 28 to 507 of the family's 1533-position model. The record is from RNAcentral.